Molecule: ribosomal RNA, 942 nt
Filed under: uncultured archaeon
Lineage: Archaea
Description: bacterial SSU rRNA
Rfam family: Archaeal small subunit ribosomal RNA
Source: RNAcentral
UUCCGGUUGAUCCUGCCGGACCCCACUGCUAUCGAGGUGGGACUAAGCCAUGCUAGUCGAACGACCCGGACUAUGGCGGGGAGUGGCAGACUGCUCAGUAACACGUAGCUAACCUACCCUCGGGACGGGGAUAACUCCGGGAAACUGGGGCUAAUACCCGAUAGGUGUGGAUUCCUGGAAUGGUGCCAUGCCUAAAUGUAAGCGCAUCCAUGUUUUGUGUGCACGCCCGAGGAUGGGGCUGCGGCCGAUCAGGCAGUUGGUGAGGUAACGGCUCACCAAACCUUUGACCGGUACGGGCCAUGAGAGUGGUAGCCCGGAGAUGGGCACUGAGACAAGGGCCCAGGCCCUACGGGGCGCAGCAGGCGCGAAACCUCCACAAUUCACGCAAGUGAGAUGGGGUUACCUCGAGUGCCGUCUGAAGAAGGCGGCUUUUCCAUGGUGUAACAAGCCGUGGGAAUAAGGGGGGGGCAAGACUGGUGUCAGCCGCCGCGGUAACACCAGCCCCCCGAGUGGUGGGGAUGAUUAUUUGGCCUAAAGCGUCCGUAGCCGGCUUUGUAAAUCUCUCGUUAAAUCCAGCGUCCUAAGCGUUGGGCUGCGAGAGACACUGCAGAGCUAGAGGGUGGGAGAGGUCAGCGGUAUUCCUGGGGUAGGGGCGAAAUCCAUUGAUCCCAGGAGGACCACCAGUGGCGAAGGCUGCUGUCCAGAACACGCCUGACGGUCAGGGACGAAAGCUGGGGUAGCGAAUCGGAUUAGAUACCCGAGUAGUCCCAGCCGUAAACGAUGCAGCUAGGUGUUGGGUCGGCCACGCGCCGCCUCAGUGCCACAGGGAAAGCCAUUAAGCCUGCCGCCUGGGGAGUACGGGCCGCAAGGCUGAAACUUAAAGGAAUUGGCGGGGGAGCACCACCAGCGUGAAGCCUGCGGUUUAAUUGGAUUCAACGCGGG